AUUGAACGCUAGCGGGAUGCUUUACACAUGCAAGUCGAACGGCAGCGCGGACUUCGGUCUGGCGGCGAGUGGCGAACGGGUGAGUAAUGUAUCGGAACGUGCCCAGUAGCGGGGUAUAACUACGCGAAAGCGUAGCUAAUACCUCAUACGCCCUACGGGGGAAAGCAGGGGAUCGUAAGACCUUGCACUAUUGGAGCGUCCGAUAUCGGAUUAGCUAGUUGGUGAGGUAACGGCUCACCAAGGCGACGAUCCGUAGCUGGUUUGAGAGGACGACCAGCCACACUGGGACUGAGACACGGCCCAGACUCCUACGGGAGGCAGCAGUGGGGAAUUUUGGACAAUGGGGGCAACCCUGAUCCAGCCAUCCCGCGUGUGCGAUGAAGGCCUUCGGGUUGUAAAGCACUUUUGGCAGGAAAGAAACGUAGCGGGCUAAUACCCCGUGGAACUGACGGUACCUGAAGAAUAAGCACCGGCUAACUACGUG
RNAcentral lists this ribosomal RNA (484 nucleotides) under uncultured bacterium. Its description in RNAcentral is "partial 16S ribosomal RNA". It matches the Rfam family "Bacterial small subunit ribosomal RNA", at positions 30 to 507 of the family's 1533-position model. The record is from RNAcentral.